UAGGAGUAGAUAGGAGUGUAUUAACUCUUCAAAGAAGACGAAGAGUCGUUUUGGUCGUUGAAAUCUGCUGUCUAUCAAUGGAAAUUUUAUUUUUAAUAUAAAAAAUGUUGGAUGUUGUGUCACAAUGUAUUAAAAAGCUGCACAAAAUUGGACAUUGGAUUAUUUAAAGAUUGAAAUCGCCGAAGCCGAAGGGACAUUUUAUAGUUUUAUAUACGAGAUUUAAUUAUAUACAGAGUAUAAACAAAGACAGGCGAAAGGCUAUGCGAG
Non-coding RNA from Paramuricea clavata, 267 nucleotides. The record is from the annotation of a GenBank genome assembly. NCBI's taxonomy places the organism in Eukaryota, Metazoa, Cnidaria, Anthozoa, Malacalcyonacea, Plexauridae.